RNAcentral lists this long non-coding RNA (385 nucleotides) under Homo sapiens (human). RNAcentral describes it as "HSALNT0251449". The record is from RNAcentral. Lineage: Eukaryota; Metazoa; Chordata; Mammalia; Primates; Hominidae.
CCGGAUUUGUACCCAAUGUGCUCCAGCCUUCCUGAGCAAAAUCAACCUUCAUGAGCGGAUGCCAGCUGAAGGCUUGUCCUUAACCCGUCAUCCAGCAAAUCAUUAAAAGAGGUUGUCAAAGACAAUACAGAUUUCCUCCAAGUCGUUUGCUGGAUUAAAAACAAUUCAGGGGACCAUGAGGAAGCCAGAGUGGAAGGCCAGAACACAGCAUGUUAGUGAUUCCAGGUCCAAGCCUUUCCUGAGUCCAAGAAACCAUGAAGCUCACAAUUCAGCAUGUCAAUUCUCUACAUCAACUGAAAUAACUGGUGAUGUUGGUACUAAUUUAAUUGGUGCCUGCACCAGCCCAGCGACCCUUGAACACUCAGAAUUUCCAAACAGAGAAUUC